UCCUACGGGAGGCAGCAGUGAGGAAUAUUGGACAAUGGAGGCAACUCUGAUCCAGCCAUGCCGCGUGCAGGAAGACUGCCCUAUGGGUUGUAAACUGCUUUUAUACAGGAAGAAACACUCCCUCGUGAGGGAGCUUGACGGUACUGUACGAAUAAGGAUCGGCUAACUCCGUGCCAGCAGCCGCGGUAAU
Molecule: ribosomal RNA, 190 nt
Filed under: uncultured Flavobacterium sp.
Lineage: Bacteria; Pseudomonadati; Bacteroidota; Flavobacteriia; Flavobacteriales; Flavobacteriaceae
Description: partial 16S ribosomal RNA
Rfam family: Bacterial small subunit ribosomal RNA
Source: RNAcentral